GUUCAGCAUUUGGGAAUUGGCAUAUAUGAAUUGACCCUUCUCUUUUUUCUUUAUUUUUAUUUGUUGCUUUUGGUGCAGCAAGAGUCUAGAUGGUGUAGGACUUCCAUUUGCAAUAUAGUUCAGUAUAGUUCUGGCUUAGAGCUCACCUGGAUUGGUAUAUGGUUUUCUCAUUGUUCCCUUUACAGGGCCUUUUUAAAAUUUUUUAUUUAACGGAGAAUGUAAUUCUGAUGAAUAAUUUAGAAAUAAAAUUUUAACCUGGAUAUUUGAAAGUAAAAGGAAAGUUCUUGAGGUGGAGACUCUAGGGUCUUUGAAUAAAUUUAGGGUCAGUGGGUGAUGGGUUUGCAAGGAUUUUGGUAUAUAAAUGAUAAGAAGUGUGUUUUUUUAGGCUGUAGUGAAUUAUAGAUCUAAAUUUUUUAUUCCAAUCUUGAUAAUGGGUUGGCUGGCACAAUUGGUUCUCAUUUUACAUUAUUUUUGCUUAUUUGAGGCAAAUGAUUCUAAUUUUUAUCUCUCAUGACCUAAAGUUGUACCAUUACACUUGAGCCUUUUUCCAAUGGUGUAUGAAUUUGUUGUAAUUGUCUAUUAAGGUCAGGCAAAUCAAGCUUGCCUAAUGAGUCAGAAAUUAUUGUGGAAAAUUGAAACAUAAAAGCAAAACUAAAAUGGUCAACGUAUUUUAUUUUUCAGUUUGCACUUGCCUGAAUUAAUACUGAUAAGAAUCUGCAAACAGCUGAUUGGUAAUGAUGCCCUAUCAUUUAGGACUGUUGGUAAGAGGAGGAGGUGAGCAGAGGAACAAUUGUAAGUUGGAUUUCUUUGCAGAUGAUGGUUAGAAUUGGCUUUAGCAUUGGGGUAGAAGAGCCAUUGUCAUCUAUUCCAUUUUAAACUCACCAUGCACUAAAUAAUGGAUCUUAGUUUGGCAGCAUUUCAAUAAUGUGGCGUCACACAUUACUCUUUACUUUCCUUUUUGGGCUGAGAUGUUUUUACUACUAACAGAAGGGGCUUUUAAAGUUUUGAACUUGAUCUGGUUUUGCAUCUGUACUGAAUUUGCUUGCCACUUAGCUAGAUAGAUAGCAAGCAGACAAUUAUUCUAUUUUACUGUUUAUACUAGGAUAUGGAUCUGCUAACUUUAAAAAAUUUAGUGCUAUUGUCUGAAAAAUACUUUCGUAGUAUUACUCUUUUUCUAGUGACCAGCACUAACUUCUUCUGCUCUUUGAUUUUUUUUUUUUUUUUCCAGUAUUGAUAUUCAGGCUUCAAGGCUAGUUGAAUUAGAAGAGAUAAGCAUGGGUACUGAUGCUGUUGCUGAAGUUGGUUUUUCUCUCGAUGAUGUCAACUCUGCAGAUCCAGGAGCUGAGUCAAGUAAAAUCAAUUUAGUUGUGGACAUGUCUUUUAAUGGAGAGACAAGUUCUGAGUUAAUAAUUGCAGAUGAGAUUAUAACGAGAAUGGAAUUAGAUUUAGCAUGUGCUUCAGAGAAGUUGGUUAACCUAAGUGUAUUAAUGAUGCACGUGGAAUCCAAGGAAUGUGAGUUUGAAACAAUUGCCCCACUAGAAGGAGAUAUAUUGGGGAAUUUAGUGGAGGUUAUGGAAUUUGAUUUCUUGUCCAGGAUUUUGUAUUCUGAAGUGACAGAACUGGAUAAUUUCGUGAAAACUUUCCAGGAGAAUAUAGUUGAGGCGCAUGAAAUGAUAUCCUCAUAUAAGCAUUUGGGACAAACUUUCAUGGCAAUGGAAGAAAAGUUGCUUGAUUCUGAAAAAUCAUUGAAGCAGUUACAUGAUCAAGUGUCGGAAAUUAGGAUGCAAUACACCAAGUUCCAGAGGACCUUGUCAUGUCUGAAUGGAGAAGAGAAUUGGAGUGGUGAUGAGGUGUCAAACUUCUCAGAAGAUAAUCAAUUUGUGGACACGAAUGCAAAGAUCAAGAUGCAAACUGCUGAACAGCAAAGACAUAUUUUAAGGAUGCUAGAGAAAUCUUUGGCAAGAGAGAUGGAUCUUGAAAAGAAACUAACUGAAUCAAGACAAAUUGAGGAAGAGCUAAAACAUAGGAUACUCUCUACAGAGCAAGAAGUAUUUUUCUUGGAAGAAGAAGCAAUAGAUGUUUGUGAAAGAUGGUUCACAGCAGAAAAUGCUGCAGAGGUCUUGAUGGGAAUUUCUCAAGAACUACUGAGUCGACUAAAGAUUUUUCAGUUCAAUUUAAAUGGUUCAAUUAAACGAGAAGCUGAACUAAGGUCAAACCUUGAUAAAUCAGUGGAACAGUUGGAAGCCAAAGAAAAUGCUUUGCAAAAGUUCAAUAACAGCAGUGUGAAACUCAGUGAUCGUUUGAAAGCAAGCUUGACAGAAGCUGAAGAUAAAUUAAUUCUUGCAAAUUCUGAGGUCUCAACUCUAAGAGAAAAAGUGUAUUCAGUUGAGAAGCAGCUGGAAGAAUCUGAGUAUCAGCUGUCAACUGAAAACGUAAACGUCUCUAUGGAUGGACCAGAGGAGCAGCAUAGUGCUUUACGUUCUGAGAUCACAAAUUUGGAAAACACAAUUGAGGAUUUGAAAGAAGAGCUGGCUAAAGUGGAAAGUAGGGCAGCUAGUGCAGAAGUCAAGUGUAAUUUGUUGGCAGAGACUAAUUUGGAACUUAACAAAGAGAUGAUUCAUCUUAAAGAUGCCUCUGAGAAAGUGGAUUCAUUAGAGAAGCAGCUGAGUGAAUCUGAUAUUAGGCUCCAGCAUGCAGUGGCAUCUGCUGAUGCCAGUCAGGAGAAGCAAAACAUGCUGUAUACUACAAUUAGGGAUAUGGAAAAUUUAAUUGAGGAUCUAAAGUUGAAAAUUCAGAAAGCUGACAGUCGUGCAGACAAUGCAGAGGAUAAGUGCAUUGUAUUAUCUGAAUCUAAUGCAGAACUAAAUGAAGAACUGGGCUUUUUGAGGGGAAGGCUUGAAUGCUUGGAGAUAUCUCUGAAUCAAGCUGAGGAAACAAAAAUGAUUGCGGCAAAGGAUAUUGGCUUUCGGACAAAAGUAAUAACAGAUCUGGUGAUGCAAUUGGCUAUCGAAAGAGAGCGCCUUCAUAAGCAGAUGAAAUCAUUAGCACUUGAGAAUAAAACUUUAGUGCUAGCUACCAACCAUUGUAAUAGAGGAAGUGGUGAAAAAUCUCUGUUUCCUGAGCAUGAAGUAACCCAGAUCUCAGCAUCUGGUUCCAAGUUGGACAAGAAAAGGAAAAAUGUGUCUGUUGGUGAAACUGAAGUGGCAGAUGCAGAUUCCAUAUUGGGGGCUGAAAGAACGAGGAGGAUAGGUGCAGGAAUGCUCAACUAUAAGCAUAUUAUCAUGGCAGUGCUUAUCUUGUUGAUUUCUGCAGCUGUUUAUCUAUUUCAGCCGCAGAACCACCAUUUUUGAUAGCAGAGAUGCUAACCUCAUAUUUUAU
RNAcentral lists this unclassified non-coding RNA (3378 nucleotides) under Hevea brasiliensis (rubber tree). Lineage: Eukaryota; Viridiplantae; Streptophyta; Magnoliopsida; Malpighiales; Euphorbiaceae. The record is from RNAcentral.